GUAAUCUUGUAAAUUGGUGAAGACUUGGGCUUCAAGUUGGCUGUGACCAAACGGGCUUUCUGCGCGCUUCGCUAUCGAUCGAUGUCAAGACAUGAACAUCGAUCGAUUAUUCCUCUUCAAUAUCGACCGAUGGUCGAGCUCGAUGGUCAUCUCGGGUGCUUGCUCCAAAUAUCUCCAAAAUGGUCCAAAAUCAUCACUUAUCUCCAAAUCACUUCUGAUCCUAUAAAUAUGCUAAAUAGACUCUAUAAUAUAAUAAUUAAUAGAAACACUUAUAAACCAUGGAUGAAAAUGGGUCAGAUCCUGCGCACUUAGAACGCUCAAUCCGCAAAGAAAAAUGCACCGCAUCGAUCGACAACAACACCCGUUAGUCGACCGA
RNAcentral lists this long non-coding RNA (376 nucleotides) under Brassica napus (rape). RNAcentral's name for it is "long non-coding RNA (BNAP_LNC026861)". The record is from RNAcentral. Lineage: Eukaryota; Viridiplantae; Streptophyta; Magnoliopsida; Brassicales; Brassicaceae.